Molecule: ribosomal RNA, 210 nt
Filed under: uncultured bacterium
Lineage: Bacteria
Description: partial 16S ribosomal RNA
Rfam family: Bacterial small subunit ribosomal RNA
Source: RNAcentral
UACGGAGGGUGCGAGCGUUGUCCGGAAUCACUGGGCGUAAAGGGCGCGUAGGCGGCGCGGGGAGUCAACGGUGAAAGCUCGGCGCUCAACGCCGAGUCGGCCGUCGAUACUCCCCGUGCUCGAGCACUGUAGUAGGCAGGUGGAAUUCCGGGUGUAGGCGGUGGAAUGGCGUAGAGAUCCGGAAGAACACCGGUGGCGAAGGCGGCCUGC